CGGAUAUCAGCCGGCGGGUUACGGCGUUCCAGUACGAGCUAACGAGCAACGUGCACGGAGUGGAAGAGCCCUCGCUGGCAGAUCCAUGUCAGCCUUGCAGUGAUGCUGAGGUUCUUCUAGCAGCCUGCACCAAAGACUUUGAAAUGCCUCCGGACGAAGUGGCUGGGGACAGGAAAGUCUGGCCUUCCCUGCUUAGGCUGCUGCCCCCGCGACCCCAGCUCGAAUAAGCGGAAGAAGAUGGAUGCAUGGAUGGGUUCUAGCAUUAAACAUAUUAAUAUUUAAUUAUACCAACUGUAGUCAUGAAAUUAACUGAAAUGCAUUUUACAUGAGUUAUUUUGAUUUAAGUUUUAAUGUAAUUUGAUAGUUUGUUGGUAAUGUGUUGUUUUUUUUAUUAAUAAACAAAAAUACUUUUCAUUUAUAUUUAUUAUUAUAUGAAAUGUAAAUAAAUGGAAAUAGUCUUAUUUUAAAAAAAUGUUUGAGGAAAUCACUUUAGUACCCCAAAAAUACAAAUUAUUUAUCUAAAUAUAACAUUUAAAUUCCAACACGUAUUGUUUUUCAGGGAUGUGUAUCGUUGGGAUUUUAUCGAUACGGAAACUGAUAUUCCUUACCGAUGAAGUGAAGUGACUUAUAUUUAUAUAGCGCUUUUCUCUAGUGACUCAAAGCGAUUUGACAUCGUGAAAUCCAAUAUGUAAGUACAAUUUAAAGCAGUGUGGGUGGCACUGGGAGCUGGUGGGAGGAGCGCCUUGCCCAAGGACACAACGGCAGUGACUAGGGUGGCGGAAGCGGGAAUCGAACCCAGAACCCUCAAGUUGCUGGCACGCCCACUCUAGCAUCCGAGCUAUGCUGCUACCGACGUUCAUCAGUAACUUGGUUGAAAUAAAGAAGUAAAAAGAUGUUGAAAAAGUU
Long non-coding RNA from Nerophis ophidion (straightnose pipefish), 906 nucleotides. RefSeq lists it as uncharacterized. The transcript is spliced from 3 exons. The record is from RefSeq and is a predicted model, not a curated record. Lineage: Eukaryota; Metazoa; Chordata; Actinopteri; Syngnathiformes; Syngnathidae.